GGAUCAGUACGCUGGUCGUGCCUUCGGUAUGUACUGGUGUUACUGGUUCCUACCUUCUGACGAACCGUCAUGUCAUUAAUUUGGUGUGGCGGGGAAUCAGGACUGUUACUUUGAAAAAAUUAGAGUGUUCAAAGCAGGCGUAACCUUGCCAUUGAAUAUUACAGCAUGGGAUAAUAGAAU
RNAcentral lists this ribosomal RNA (180 nucleotides) under uncultured Glomeromycotina. RNAcentral's name for it is "partial small subunit ribosomal RNA". Lineage: Eukaryota; Fungi; Glomeromycota. The record is from RNAcentral.